ACCCGCUGAACUUAAGCAUAUCAAUAAGCGGAGGAAAAGAAACCAACAGGGAUUGCCCUAGUAACGGCGAGUGAAGCGGCAACAGCUCAAAUUUGAAAUCUGGCGUCUUUGGCGUCCGAGUUGUAAUUUGCAGAGGGCGCUUUGGCAUUGGCAGCGGUCCAAGUUCCUUGGAACAGGACGUCACAGAGGGUGAGAAUCCCGUACGUGGUCGCUAGCCUUUACCGUGUAAAGCCCCUUCGACGAGUCGAGUUGUUUGGGAAUGCAGCUCUAAAUGGGAGGUAAAUUUCUUCUAAAGCUAAAUACUGGCCAGAGACCGAUAGCGCACAAGUAGAGUGAUCGAAAGAUGAAAAGCACUUUGGAAAGAGAGUUAAAAAGCACGUGAAAUUGUUGAAAGGGAAGCGCUUGCAAUCAGACUUGUCCCUGACUGUUCGGCCGGUCUUCUGACCGGUUUACUCAGUCUGGGACAGGCCAGCAUCGGUUUCGGCGGUCGGAUAAAGGCCCUGGGAAUGUGGCUCUGCCUUCGGGGAGAGUGUUAUAGCCCAGGGUGUAAUACGGCCAGCCGGGACCGAGGUCCGCGAUUCGUCUAGGAUGCUGGCGUAAUGGUUGU
This 607-nucleotide ribosomal RNA is filed under the name uncultured fungus. RNAcentral's name for it is "eukaryotic LSU rRNA". It matches the Rfam family "Eukaryotic large subunit ribosomal RNA", at positions 23 to 641 of the family's 3401-position model. Lineage: Eukaryota; Fungi. The record is from RNAcentral.